RNAcentral lists this ribosomal RNA (326 nucleotides) under uncultured eukaryote. RNAcentral's name for it is "partial 18S ribosomal RNA". It matches the Rfam family "Eukaryotic small subunit ribosomal RNA", at positions 1470 to 1796 of the family's 1831-position model. The record is from RNAcentral.
CCCUUAGAUGUUCUGGGCUGCACGCGCGCUACACUGAUGCAUGCAACGAGUUUUCGACCUUGCCUGAAAAGGUUGGGUAAUCUGUUUAACAUGUGUCGUGAUGGGGAUAGACCAUUGCAAUUAUUGAUCUUCAACGAGGAAUUCCUAGUAAGCGCGAGUCAUCAGCUCGUGCUGAUUAUGUCCCUGCCCUUUGUACACACCGCCCGUCGCUCCUACCGAUUGAGUGACCCGGUGAAUGAUUCGGACCAGCGUGCUGCUCAGAUCCUGCGCAGUGUGCUGGGAAGUCUAGUGAACCUUAUCACUUAGAGGAAGGAGAAGUCGUAACA